CCUACCUUAUAUUGGGGGAUAGCCCAGAGAAAUUUGGAUUAAUACCCCAUAGUAUGCUGAAUUGGCAUCAGUUUAGUAUUAAAGAUUUAUCGAUAUAAGAUGGCUAUGCGUUCUAUUAGCUAGUUGGUAAGGUAACGGCUCACCAAGGCGACGAUAGAUAGGGGUCCUGAGAGGGAGAUCCCCCACACUGGUACUGAGACACGGACCAGACUCCUACGGGAGGCAGCAGUGAGGAAUAUUGGACAAUGGAGGCAACUCUGAUCCAGCCAUGCCGCGUGCAGGAAGACUGCCCUAUGGGUUGUAAACUGCUUUUAUAGAGGAAGAAACCGCUCUACGUGUAGAGCUCUGACGGUACUCUACGAAUAAGGAUCGGCUAACUCCGUGCCAGCAGCCGCGGUAAUACGGAGGAUCCAAGCGUUAUCCGGAAUCAUUGGGUUUAAAGGGUCCGUAGGCGGGCUUAUAAGUCAGUGGUGAAAGUUUGCGGCUCAACCGUAAAAUUGCCAUUGAUACUGUAGGUCUUGAAUCAUUGUGAAGUGGUUAGAAUGUGUAGUGUAGCGGUGAAAUGCAUAGAUAUUACACAGAAUACCGAUUGCGAAGGCAGAUCACUAACAAUUGAUUGACGCUCAGGGACGAAAGCGUGGGUAGCGAACAGGAUUAGAUACCCUGGUAGUCCACGCCGUAAACGAUGGUUACUAGCUGUUUGGACUUCGGUCUGAGUGGCUAAGCGAAAGUGAUAAGUAACCCACCUGGGGAGUACGUUCGCAAGAAUGAAACUCAAAGGAAUUGACGGGGGCCCGCACAAGCGGUGGAGCAUGUGGUUUAAU
This 824-nucleotide ribosomal RNA is filed under the name uncultured bacterium. Its description in RNAcentral is "bacterial SSU rRNA". It matches the Rfam family "Bacterial small subunit ribosomal RNA", at positions 125 to 950 of the family's 1533-position model. The record is from RNAcentral.